This 393-nucleotide ribosomal RNA is filed under the name uncultured bacterium. Its description in RNAcentral is "partial 16S ribosomal RNA". It matches the Rfam family "Bacterial small subunit ribosomal RNA", at positions 523 to 918 of the family's 1533-position model. The record is from RNAcentral.
AUACGGAAGGUCCGGGCGUUAUCCGGAUUUAUUGGGUUUAAAGGGAGCGCAGGCGGCCUUUUAAGCGUGACGUGAAAUGUGGAUGCUCAACAUCUGAACUGCGUCGCGAACUGGAGGGCUUGAGUGGGUACGACGCCGGCGGAAUUCGUGGUGUAGCGGUGAAAUGCUUAGAUAUCACGAAGAACCCCGAUUGCGAAGGCAGCCGGCGAGUCCUCAACUGACGCUAAAGCUCGAGAGUGCGGGUAUCGAACAGGAUUAGAUACCCUGGUAGUCCGCACGGUAAACGAUGGAUGCCCGCUGUUGGCGAUACAAUGUCAGCGGCCAAGCGAAAGCGUUAAGCAUCCCCCCUGGGGAGUACGCCGGCAACGGUGAAACUCAAAUGAAUUGACGGGG